UCUCCGUUGGUGAACCAGCGGAGGGAUCAUUACCGAGUUUACAACUCCCAAACCCCUAUGUGAACGUUACCAAACUGUUGCCUCGGCGGGAAAUUCAUGCCCCGGGCGCGUCGCAGCCCCGGACCAAGGCGCCCGCCGGAGGACCAACCAAAACUCUUUUGUAUGUCCCUCGCGGACUUUUAUAAUUCUGAACCAUCUCGGCGCCCCUAGCGGGCGUUUCGAAAAUGAAUCAAAACUUUCAACAACGGAUCUCUUGGUCCUG
This 262-nucleotide unclassified non-coding RNA is filed under the name plant metagenome. RNAcentral's name for it is "partial contains small subunit ribosomal RNA, internal transcribed spacer 1, and 5.8S ribosomal RNA". The record is from RNAcentral.